GAUCCUGGCUCAGGAUGAACGCUAGCUACAGGCCUAACACAUGCAAGUCGAGGGGCAGCGGGGUUGAAGCUUGCUUCAAUUGCCGGCGACCGGCGCACGGGUGAGUAACGCGUAUCCAACCUUCCGCUUACUCGGGGAUAGCCUUUCGAAAGAAAGAUUAAUACCCGAUGGUAUCUUAAGCACGCAUGAGAUUAAGAUUAAAGAUUUAUCGGUAAGCGAUGGGGAUGCGUUCCAUUAGGCAGUUGGG
RNAcentral lists this ribosomal RNA (247 nucleotides) under uncultured bacterium. RNAcentral describes it as "partial 16S ribosomal RNA". It matches the Rfam family "Bacterial small subunit ribosomal RNA", at positions 15 to 253 of the family's 1533-position model. The record is from RNAcentral.